Molecule: long non-coding RNA, 412 nt
Filed under: Equus caballus (horse)
Lineage: Eukaryota; Metazoa; Chordata; Mammalia; Perissodactyla; Equidae
Description: lncRNA (ENSECAG00000043863.1)
Source: RNAcentral
UCAGAACAGCACUGGUAGAUGUAACGGCGAGGUACGCCCCGGAUUUCUCUCCACACCCCCACCUUCAGGACUGAGGUUCUCAUUCCUCCAGCUACCAGGAUCAUUGCCUGCCGAUGGCGCCUAGCUCUCGGGAUCUAGAGGCCCUGGUGCCCAGAGGGGAAAUACCUCUCUUAGGGCUUACAGCAAGAAUCCCUUUCGACUCUGAGCUACAGCUGCAACCUAGUCACUGUAGAUUACAUGUACCAAAGGCAAAGAAGAGAGUCACCAUCUGGCAGACAUUCUCAGAUGAGUGAAAACUGAUGAACUCCCUUGUGAAUCCUAACUGGAGACUCGCACCUGUCAGAAUCGCAUCUGACCGAUGCUCAGAAAUUAACUCACCUGUGGGCAUAGUGAGCAGAGGCUGAAGGGGAGG